AGCUUGACAGUCUUAGUUCAGCCUGUUGUAGGGUUUCCAUUAGAUUCUCUAAAAUAGCUCAAGGGUCUCCACUAGAUUCUUGCACCAUGAAGUUGUGGGUAUUGCAAGCUCCAGAGUUGAGGAAUGCAGGUGCCUUUGGGCUGCAGGUUCCAGGACCCAUAGCAUCCUGGUGCUUCUGUGAUGGCUGGCAUAUGGCUUGGCAUCUGCACUGAAGCUGGUCUUCUCUCUGCAUUCUUCACUCCAGGCUUUCUCCUGGCACUGACGCAGGGCCGAGAGCAACAGGCACAGAACUCCUUCUCCAGUUUCACCCUGAUGAAGUUGAGGCACUCUUCUGCACUGGGAGGGGCCAGCCUGGGGGCCAGGCACAUUGGACACCACCUUCCCAUGGACUACAGCGUCAAUGCCAUUGCCUUCUAUUCCUAUACCUUCUAGGGGCUGCCCCUCUUCCCAUUCAGCCAACACUGAGUGUUGGGAGAUUUCUCUUUUUUAAAAACACAUGAGAAAAUAAAUGCACUUUACUCCCUCCCCAGCAGGGUGUUAUCCUC
Molecule: long non-coding RNA, 545 nt
Filed under: Rattus norvegicus (Norway rat)
Lineage: Eukaryota; Metazoa; Chordata; Mammalia; Rodentia; Muridae
Description: long non-coding RNA NONRATT020629
Source: RNAcentral